RNA transcript from Prunus dulcis (almond), 2693 nucleotides. It is a transcript of the gene named glutamate--tRNA ligase, cytoplasmic-like, with no coding region annotated. The transcript is spliced from 7 exons. Lineage: Eukaryota; Viridiplantae; Streptophyta; Magnoliopsida; Rosales; Rosaceae. The record is from RefSeq and is a predicted model, not a curated record.
UUUGAAUUAUUUUCUCGCGUCAUUCGCAGCUGCUGGUUCGCGCUCGCAGAAGCUUGAAGCUCUCUUGCUCCCUCUCUCUCCUUCUCUCUCUUCGUCCUUCUCUCUCUCUCUCUCUCUCUCUCUUAUCAGUUCAAACCCUAGAAAUUGGGGACUUUUCCAAUAUCAAAGGAUUUGUAGCAAAGCAACAGCAAGCCCAAAGAGCAAAAUCUGAAGCUUUCGAUUUUAAUGGAGGUUAAGGUGCUUUCAUUUGCCGCUGAGAACCCUCCUCUCCUGGUGCUCGUGGUGGCCAAGCUCGCUGGCAUUUCUCUCUCUAACGACAAAUCUCUACUUGCUGAUUGUCCUCAUCUCUUGCACUUCUCCAAUGGGUUGAAAUUGUAUGGAAAUUUUGUGCUUCUUCGAUAUAUCGGUCCAAUUGCUAACUUGUAUGGUGAGAAUGCAAUUCAAGCUGCCCAGAUUGAUGAGUGGCAUGAGUGAGCACCUGUGCUUUCACAGGGUUCUGCAUUUGAGAAUGCAUGCAAAUAUUUGGAUGACUAUUUGGGAAGCCGUAGUUUUUUCGUUGAUUACUCUUUUUCCAUUGCCGAUAUAUUAAUCUGGUCAAGUCUAUUAGGUAUGGCGCAAAGAUGGGAAAGUUUGAGGAAGUCGAAAAAGUACUGCAACCUUUCUCGGUGGUUCAAUUCACUAUUAGCGGAAUACGGGGGGUGCCCUGAAUGAAGUCAUCGUUACCUUCGUUGGCAAGAGAGGCUUGGGAAAGCCAGCAACAACAAAAUCGAAAGGCACUCAAGCCAAUCAGGAAUCAAUGAGUGUAAAUGGAGAUGUGUCUGAGAAAGGUAAAGCAGGAAACAGACCAACAUUAGAAGUAGACCUUCCAGAAGCUGAGGUUGGAAAGGUUUGACUGAGAUUUGCGCCAGAACCCAGUGGAUUUCUUCACAUUGGGCACUCAAAAGCAGCCUUGUUGAAUCAGUAUUUUGCUCAAAGGUAUCAGGGUCAGCUUAUUGUGCGAUUUGAUGAUACAAAUCCUGCUAAAGAAAGCAAUGAGUUCGUGGACAAUCUUCUCAAGGAUAUUGAGACUUUGGGUAUCAAGUAUGAAACGGUUACCUAUACUUCAGAUUACUUCCCUCAGUUGAUAGAAAUGGCUGAGAAUUUGAUUUGCCAGGGUAAGGCAUAUGUUGAUGACACACCAUGUGAGGAGAUGCAGAAGGAAAGGAUGGAUGGCAUUGAAUCCAAAUGUAGAAACAACAAUGUAGAGGAGAAUCUAAAACUAUGGAAGGAAAUGAUUGCUGGUUCUGAUAGGGGUCUGCAGUGUUGUGUCCGUGGGGAGCUGGAUUGCAGGAUCCAAAUAAAUCUCUUCGUGAUCCAGUUUAUUAUCGUUGCAAUCCAAUGCCACAUCAUAGGAUCGGAUCCAAGUACAAGAUAUACCCGACUUAUGAUUUUGCUUGCCCAUUUGUUGAUUCUAUAGAAGGUAUUACUCAUGCACUCCGAUCUAGUGAGUAUCACGACCGCAAUCCUCAGUACCAGCGAGUUCAAGAGGAUAUGGGACUGCGAAAAGUGCACAUCUAUGAAUUCAGUAGGUUGAACAUGGUUUAUACAGUUCUCAGCAAGCGCAAGCUUUUGUGGUUCGUUCAAAAUAAGAAGGUUAAUGGAUGGGAUGAUCCUCGUUUUCCAACUGUUCAAGGAAUUGUGCCCAGAGGUCUUAAAGUUGAAGCUUUAAUACAAUUCAUUCUUGAGCAGGGAGUUUCAAAGAAUCUGAAUCUCAUGGAAUGGGACAAACUUUGGACAAUUAAUAAGAAGAUAAUUGAUCCAGUAUGCCCAAGACACAUCGCCGUUAUUGAAGAGCGGCGGGUGUUGUUGACGCUGACCAAUGGGCCUGAGAAGUCAUUCGUUCGCAUCAUUCCGAGGCACAAGAAGUACGAAGGUGCUGGGGCGAAGGCAGUACACAAGGACAAUAUGGCUAGACUUUGUUGAUGCAGAGUCCAUCAAGGUAGAUGAGGAAGUGACCUUGAUGGACUGGGGGAAUGCCAUUGUCAAAGGGAUUGAGAAAGAUGAAGAUGGAAACCUCAAACUCAUAGAGGUUUUGAAUCUUGAGGGGUCCUUCAAGACGACGAAAUUGAAGCUUACAUGGCUACCUCAAAUAGAUGAACUACAUAAGCUCUCACUGAUGGAGUUCAAUUAUUUGAUAACAAAGAAAAAGCUUGAAGGAGAGGAUUUCCUUGAUGUGCUUAACGCAUGUACAGAAAAGCAGACUGCGGCCUUGGGUGAUUGCAACAUGCGAAAUCUCAAGCGAGGAGAUAUAUUGCAGCUUGAGAGGAAAGGAUAUUUCCGAUGUGAUGUUCGCUACAUCAGGCCUUCAAAGCCUAUAGUUCUCUUUGCAAUCCCCGAUGGCAGGCAGCAUACUGGCUUUAAUCGAUAAGGAAGAGUUCAAAGAAAUUCAACUCAUGGAAGGAGAGGGAUUUGACUACCGAGCAGAAAAGCUACGAGAUCGGAGCAACCGGUCAGCUAAUUGGAGAUCAUGGCUUUUGAGGAGAACUAGGAAAUCAGUUUACUUCUACUUGUUACUAUUAGGUCCAAACAUUAGAGUUUUGUAAAGAGAAAUGAGACGUCUAUUUUACUUAUGGAGCCUUAUGUUUUUACAUUAACGUAUUACACUUGAUAUUAUUUUUAACAUUGUUGGUAUUAUAAAAUGAAAUUUUCGUACA